RNAcentral lists this ribosomal RNA (459 nucleotides) under uncultured bacterium. Its description in RNAcentral is "partial 16S ribosomal RNA". It matches the Rfam family "Bacterial small subunit ribosomal RNA", at positions 338 to 795 of the family's 1533-position model. The record is from RNAcentral.
CCUACGGGUGGCAGCAGUGAGGAAUAUUGGUCAAUGGACGAGAGUCUGAACCAGCCAAGUAGCGUGAAGGAUGACUGCCCUAUGGGUUGUAACUUUCUUUUAUAUGGGAAUAAAACAGGGUAUGCAUACCCUCUUGUAUGUACCAUAUGAAUAAGGAUCGGCUCACUCCGUGCCAGCAGCCGCGGUAAUACGAGGGAUCCGCGGGUUAUCCGGAUUUAUUGGGUUUAAAGGGUGCACAGGGGGUCUGUUAAGUCAGCGGUCAAACCCCGGGGUUAAACCCCGGCCCGCCGUUGAAACUGGCAGUCUCGAGUAGGAGAGAGGUAUGCGGAAUGCGCGGUGUAGCGGUGAAAUGCAUAGAUAUCGCGAAGAACUCCGAUUGCGAAGGCAGCAUGCCGGCUCCACACUGACGCUGAGGCACGAAAGCGUGGGUAGCGAACAGGAUUAGAUACCCCAGUAGUC